UGGUAUGUGAGAUCUCUCUCUGAUAU
RNAcentral lists this non-coding RNA (26 nucleotides) under Rattus norvegicus (Norway rat). The record is from RNAcentral. Lineage: Eukaryota; Metazoa; Chordata; Mammalia; Rodentia; Muridae.